Molecule: microRNA, 23 nt
Organism: Caenorhabditis elegans
Lineage: Eukaryota; Metazoa; Nematoda; Chromadorea; Rhabditida; Rhabditidae
Source: Ensembl
CGAGGAUUUUGAGACUAGAAUGC